CCUACGGGAGGCAGCAGUGGGGAAUUUUGGACAAUGGGCGCAAGCCUGAUCCAGCUAUUCCGCGUGUGGGAUGAAGGCCCUCGGGUUGUAAACCACUUUUGUAGAGAACGAAAAGGCACCUUUUAAUAAAGGGUGUUGCUGACGGUACUUUAAGAAUAAGCACCGGCUAACUACGUGCCAGCAGCCGCGGUAAUACGUAGGGUGCGAGCGUUUAUCGGAAUUACUGGGCGUAAAGGGUGCGCAAGCUGUUUUGUAAAACCGGAUGGGAA
RNAcentral lists this ribosomal RNA (269 nucleotides) under uncultured bacterium. RNAcentral's name for it is "partial 16S ribosomal RNA". It matches the Rfam family "Bacterial small subunit ribosomal RNA", at positions 338 to 599 of the family's 1533-position model. The record is from RNAcentral.